UGUACAAUCACAUAGCUUUCCUGCAAGCAUUGAAUGCUGCAAUACAUUCUGCCUCGCAACUUGAAUUUGGCUAUAUUUUUUUGCUUGGAAUCUUUCCAACAGAUUGCUUCAUUAUUUAGGAUAAAAAUAUAUUCAGACACGUUCUUACUAUUAUUAUAUCCAACUAAAAAUCAGAGUCAUAUUCCAUAAGUUUUAAGUCAGAUUCUCUAUAACUGAGUCACCGAUCCUUAGUAUUUCUCAAAUACUUAAAGAUGACGUUCUAGUGAUUCUCACCC
RNAcentral lists this long non-coding RNA (275 nucleotides) under Elaeis guineensis (African oil palm). RNAcentral describes it as "long non-coding RNA (EGUI_LNC061776)". The record is from RNAcentral. Lineage: Eukaryota; Viridiplantae; Streptophyta; Magnoliopsida; Arecales; Arecaceae.